RNAcentral lists this ribosomal RNA (213 nucleotides) under uncultured bacterium. RNAcentral describes it as "partial 16S ribosomal RNA". It matches the Rfam family "Bacterial small subunit ribosomal RNA", at positions 524 to 736 of the family's 1533-position model. The record is from RNAcentral.
UACGGAGGAUCCAAGCGUUAUCCGGAUUUAUUGGGUUUAAAGGGUGCGUAGGCGGAAUGAUAAGUCAGUGGUGAAAGCCUGCAGCUUAACUGCAGAACUGCCAUUGAUACUGUCAAUCUUGAGUACAUUUGAUGUGGGCGGAAUGUGUCAUGUAGCGGUGAAAUGCUUAGAUAUGACACAGAACACCGAUUGCGAAGGCAGCUCACAAAACUG